This is a non-coding RNA of Nicotiana sylvestris (wood tobacco), 106 nucleotides long. The record is from Rfam. Lineage: Eukaryota; Viridiplantae; Streptophyta; Magnoliopsida; Solanales; Solanaceae.
UGGACAGAUUAUUGUAUUCGGAUGUAUUCGACUGUAUUCACGGUGUGAAACAGGGGAUUACACUAUUUUUAAAUAGAAAGUGAAUCAAUUAACAUAAUAAACUCCU